RNAcentral lists this non-coding RNA (45 nucleotides) under Schistosoma mansoni. Lineage: Eukaryota; Metazoa; Platyhelminthes; Trematoda; Strigeidida; Schistosomatidae. The record is from RNAcentral.
AUCCAGCUAACAAGUCCCAAAUGGGACGAAACAAGCGUCCUGGAU